RNAcentral lists this ribosomal RNA (831 nucleotides) under uncultured Gemmatimonadota bacterium. Its description in RNAcentral is "bacterial SSU rRNA". It matches the Rfam family "Bacterial small subunit ribosomal RNA", at positions 86 to 916 of the family's 1533-position model. The record is from RNAcentral. Lineage: Bacteria; Pseudomonadati; Gemmatimonadota.
CAAGGGCAACCGGCGAACGGGUGCGUAACACGUGAGCAACCUGCCGAUCUGAGGGGGAUAGCCGGCCCAACGGCCGGGUAAUACCGCAUACGUUCUCGAGGGGGAGUCCUCUUGAGAAGAAACCUCUGGGGCAGAUCGAGGGGCUCGCGGCCUAUCAGCUAGUUGGUAGGUAAUGGCUCACCAAGGCAGCGACGGGUAGCUAGUCUGAGAGGAUGGCCAGCCACAUUGGGACUGAGAGACGGCCCAGACUCCUACGGGAGGCAGCAGUGGGGAAUCUUGCGCAAUGGCCGAAAGGCUGACGCAGCGACGCCGCGUGGGGGAUGAAGGGUUUCGGCUCGUAAACCCCUGUUGCCCGGGACGAACAUCCGCUUUCGAGCGGACUGACGGUACCGGGGAGGAAGCACCGGCUAACUCCGUGCCAGCAGCCGCGGUAAUACGGAGGGUGCGAGCGUUGUCCGGAAUCACUGGGCGUAAAGGGCGCGUAGGUGGCGCGGGUAAGCGUCUGGUGAAAGCUCGGGGCUCAACCCCGAGUCGGCCCAUGCGAACUGCCGGGCUUGAGCACUGUAGAGGCAGGUGGAAUGCCGGGUGUAGCGGUGGAAUGCGUAGAGACCCGAAAGAACACCGGUGGCGAAGGCGGCCUGCUGGGCAGUGGCUGACACUGAGGCGCGACAGUCGUGGGGAGCAAACAGGAUUAGAUACCCUGGUAGUCCACGCCGUAAACGAUGGGCAGUAGGUGCUUGGGGGAGCGACCCUCUGAGUGCCGGCGCUAACGCAUUAAGUGCCCCGCCUGGGGAGUACGGCCGCAAGGCUGAAACUCAAAGGAAUUGACGG